This 908-nucleotide ribosomal RNA is filed under the name uncultured archaeon. Its description in RNAcentral is "bacterial SSU rRNA". It matches the Rfam family "Archaeal small subunit ribosomal RNA", at positions 21 to 931 of the family's 1478-position model. The record is from RNAcentral.
GGUUACUGCUAUCGGUGUUUGCCUAAGCCAUGCGAGUCAAAUGUUCUUCGUGAACAUGGCGUACUGCUCAGUAACACGUGGAUAACCUGCCCUCAGGUCUGGCAUAACCCCGGGAAACUGGGGAUAAUUCCGGAUAACGCAUAUAUGCUGGAAUGCUUUAUGCGUCAAAGGUCCUCCGCCUGAGGAUGGGUCUGCGGCCUAUCAGGUAGUAGCGGGUGUAAUGUACCUGCUAGCCGACGACGGGUACGGGUUGUGAGAGCAAGAGCCCGGAGAUGGAUUCAGAGACAUGAAUCCAGGCCCUACGGGGCGCAGCAGGCGCGAAAACUUUACAAUGCGGGCAACCGUGAUAAGGGGACACCGAGUGCCAGCAACAUUUGCUGGCUGUCCAUGUGCGUAAAAUGCACGUGUUAGCAAGGSCCGGGCAAGACCGGUGCCAGCCGCCGCGGUAACACCGGCGGCCCGAGUGGUGAUCGUUAUUAUUGGGUCUAAAGGGUCCGUAGCCGGUUUGGUCAGUCUUCCGGGAAAUCUGUCAGCUCAACUGAUAGGCUAUCGGGGGAUACUGCUAGACUUGGAACCGGGAGAGGUAAGAGGUACUACAGGGGUAGGAGUNAAAUCUUGUAAUCCCCUGUGGGACCACCUGUGGCGAAGGCGUCUUACCANAACGGGUUCGACGGUGAGGGACGAAAGCUGGGGGCACGAACCGGAUUAGAUACCCGGGUAGUCCCANCCGUAAACGAUGCUCGCUAGGUGUCAUGCAUGGUGCGACCGUGUAUGGUGCCGUAGGGAAGCCGUGGAGCGAGCCACCUGGGAAGUACGGCCGCAAGGCUGAAACUUAAAGGAAUUGGCGGGGGAGCACAACAACGGGUGGAGCCUGCGGUUUAAUUGGAUUCAACGCCGGGAAUCGAAUU